AAAAAAGGUCUAGACUGGUCCUGAUUUUGUUAUAUUUAAUAUGAAUUUCAUAACUUUGCCUCCAUUUUAAUCUAUAAAGUCUGGAUUUUUUCCCUUUAAUUUAAAUUACCUGGUUUUGAAAUUGCUGACUGCAACUCUUUGGGGGUAUUCACUUCCAGAAGCUGCUGGGGAAGAAGGACUGAUCCUGAAUGCCAGAGGAAGCAGAUAAAAAGAAGAGAAGGAAAUCUUAUGCAAAGAGACUGUAAUGAUGCUGUAACUCUAUGACAUCAGCUGCUGUUUGCCAGCAUAGUGCAUAGCAGAUACUUGUAGAGGAGAAUGAC
RNAcentral lists this long non-coding RNA (320 nucleotides) under Cyanistes caeruleus (blue tit). Its description in RNAcentral is "lncRNA (ENSCCEG00000012173.1)". The record is from RNAcentral. Lineage: Eukaryota; Metazoa; Chordata; Aves; Passeriformes; Paridae.